Molecule: ribosomal RNA, 263 nt
Filed under: uncultured bacterium
Lineage: Bacteria
Description: partial 16S ribosomal RNA
Rfam family: Bacterial small subunit ribosomal RNA
Source: RNAcentral
AGCGAACGCUGGCGGCAGGCUUAACACAUGCAAGUCGAACGGACACUUCGGUGUCAGUGGCGGACGGGUGAGUAACACGUGGGAACAUACCUCUUGGUUCGGAACAACACAGGGAAACUUGUGCUAAUACCGGAUAAGCCCUUACGGGGAAAGGAUUAUCGCCGAGAGAUUGGCCCGCCGUCUGAUUAGCUAGUUGGUGUGGUAAAAGACGCACCAAGGCGACGAUCAGUAGCUGGUCNGAGAGGAUGAUCAGCCACAUUGGG